RNAcentral lists this ribosomal RNA (278 nucleotides) under uncultured eukaryote. RNAcentral describes it as "partial 18S ribosomal RNA". It matches the Rfam family "Eukaryotic small subunit ribosomal RNA", at positions 21 to 299 of the family's 1831-position model. The record is from RNAcentral.
UAGUCAUAUGCUUGUCUCAAAGAUUAAGCCAUGCAUGUCCAAGUAUAAACGAGUUUAUACAGUGAAACUGCGAACGGCUCAUUAAAUCAGUUAUAAUUUAUUUGAUAGUACCUUACUACUUGGAUAACCGUGGUAAUUCUAGAGCUAAUACAUGCAAAAAAACCCGACUUCUGGAAGGGUUGUAUUUAUUAGAUAAAAAACCAACCUGGGCAACCAGUUCUUUGGUGAUUCAUAAUAACUUGUCGAAUCGCAUGGCCUUGUGCCGGCGAUGGUUCAUU